RNAcentral lists this ribosomal RNA (253 nucleotides) under uncultured bacterium. RNAcentral describes it as "partial 16S ribosomal RNA". It matches the Rfam family "Bacterial small subunit ribosomal RNA", at positions 524 to 776 of the family's 1533-position model. The record is from RNAcentral.
UACGUAGGGUCCAAGCGUUAUCCGGAAUCACUGGGCGUAAAGGGCGCGUAGGUGGUUUGAUAAGGGUGUGGUGAAAGUCCGGGGCUCAACCCCGGAUCUGCCGUGCCGACUGUCAAACUCGAGGGCUGUAGAGGCAGACGGAAUUCCGGGUGUAGCGGUGGAAUGCGUAGAGAUCCGGAGGAAGACCGGUGGCGAAGGCGGUCUGCUGGGCAGUUUCUGACACUGAGGCGCGACAGCGUGGGGAGCAAACAGG